This 442-nucleotide ribosomal RNA is filed under the name uncultured bacterium. RNAcentral describes it as "SSU rRNA". It matches the Rfam family "Bacterial small subunit ribosomal RNA", at positions 26 to 518 of the family's 1533-position model. The record is from RNAcentral.
AGAGCGAACGCUGGCGGCAGGCCUAAUACAUGCAAGUCGAACGGACCCUUCGGGGUUAGUGGCGGACGGGUGAGUAACACGUGGGAACGUGCCCUUUGGUUCGGAACAACUCAGGGAAACUUGAGCUAAUACCGGAUACGCCCUUACGGGGAAAGAUUUAUUGCCGAAGGAACGGCCCGCGUCCGAUUAGCUAGUUGGUGAGGUAAUGGCUCACCAAGGCGACGAUCGGUAGCUGGUCUGAGAGGAUGACCAGCAUCACUGGGACUGAGACACGGCCCAGACUCCUACGGGAGGCAGCAGUGGGGAAUAUUGGACAAUGGGCGCAAGCCUGAUCCAGCCAUGCCGCGUGGAUGAUGAAGGCCUUAGGGUUGUAAAGUCCUUUUAACGGGAGAUAAUGACGGUACCCGUAGAUAAGCCCGGCUAACUUCGUGCCAGCAGCCGC